Molecule: ribosomal RNA, 346 nt
Filed under: uncultured Peredibacter sp.
Lineage: Bacteria; Pseudomonadati; Bdellovibrionota; Bacteriovoracia; Bacteriovoracales; Bacteriovoracaceae
Description: bacterial SSU rRNA
Rfam family: Bacterial small subunit ribosomal RNA
Source: RNAcentral
UGCCCGCAAGGGAAUGUAGUGAGAGGUGCUGCAUGGCUGUCGUCAGCUCGUGUUGUGAAAUGUUGGGUUAAGUCUCGCAACGAGCGCAACCCCUAUCGUCUGUUGCCAGCAUUAAGUUGGGCACUCUGACGAGACUGCCUGGGUUAACCAGGAGGAAGGUGGGGAUGACGUCAAGUCCUCAUGGCCCUUAUGUCUAGGGCUACACACGUAAUACAAUGGCGCGUACAAAGGGAAGCGAACCUGCAAAGGGGAGCAAAUCUCAAAAAGCGCGUCUCAGUUCGGAUUGGAGUCUGCAACUCGACUCCAUGAAGUUGGAAUCGCUAGUAAUCGGAGAUCAGCACGCUCC